This 233-nucleotide ribosomal RNA is filed under the name uncultured bacterium. Its description in RNAcentral is "partial 16S ribosomal RNA". It matches the Rfam family "Bacterial small subunit ribosomal RNA", at positions 99 to 334 of the family's 1533-position model. The record is from RNAcentral.
CGGACGGGUGAGUAAUGUAUGGGGAUCUGCCCGAUGGCGGGGGAUAACUACUGGAAACGGUAGCUAAUACCGCAUAAUGUCUACGGACCAAAGCGGGGGGACCUCCGGGCCUCGCGCCAUCAGAUGAACCCAUAUGGGAUUAGCUAGUAGGUGAGGUAACGGCUUACCUAGGCGACGAUCCCUAGCUGGUCUGAGAGGAUGAUCAGCCACACUGGGACUGAGACACGGCCCAG